Long non-coding RNA from Astatotilapia calliptera (eastern happy), 1019 nucleotides. The record is from Ensembl. NCBI's taxonomy places the organism in Eukaryota, Metazoa, Chordata, Actinopteri, Cichliformes, Cichlidae.
UGGACCAGUGUCUAUACUUAUACAUACUUAUAGAUAUCUAUGACUUACUUAGUAAUAGUGAUGGUAGAAUAGUUACAUUUAUUUCUUGCAUAUUUCCACAACCCUGUAUCCAUAAUCACAUUCUGCUUUUGCUGCCAUUGUAUGUAGUGUAUUAUCUUAUUUGUUUUGUAUUUUUUGUAUUUUCCUUCUGCUAUCUCUACCUGAGCUGAGGUAAAUGGGAAAUGGCCUGUAUUUGUAUAGCGCUGUACUUAGUCCCUAUGACCCGAAAGCACUUUACACAUCCAGUCAUUCACCCAUUCACACACACAUUCACACACUGAUGAUGGCAGCUACAUUGUAGCCACAGCCACCCUGGGGCGCACUGACAGAGGCGAGGCUGCCGGACACUGGCGCCACCGGGCCCUCUGACCACCACCAGUAGGCAACGGGUGAAGUGUCUUGUCCAAGGACACAACGACCGAGACUGUAACACACGUUUCCCCACAGUGGGAUCAAUAAAGUCUUAUCUUAUCAAAUCACUGACCACAGAAGUAAUAUUAAAAUCAUCUGUCAGACACACAACAAUGGAGCUUUAUCUGAAAUUAGAAUCUGAAAUCUACAGUUUAUAGCUGUUACAAAAAAACCAAACAAAAAAAAAAACACCAUGAAGAUGCUUUAACACAAUUAUAUUUCCAACAAAACUGAAACAAAGUGAAAAAAAGAUCUAUGUCAAAUCAUUUACAGAGUACUGCAGAAAAAGACGACAUGUAAAAUACUGAAAAAUGUUUCAUUUAGAGCAGAAUCAAGACGUUCCCUGCAGCGCAUGUUGUUCCUAAACUUUCAGAUACAGUUGCUCCUCCCCAUGUGUUCUAAUGCCCCGCCCCCACAGCACUGAAGGGGGGAGGGAAGCCCUCCUCAGCUGAUUAUGACACCCCGCCAUGUUAGCUAUGAGAUGUUCCAGUACUGUAUAAUACUUUUAUUUAGUAUUAUAAAUUUAUCAGUCUUUUGUUGCCAUUUUUAUGAAGUUACCACAAUCAAAA